GUGGCUAUAGCUCAGCUGGUUAGAGCAUCGGUUUGUGGUGCCGAGGGUCGUGGGUUCAAAUCCCAUUAGCCACCCA
Molecule: transfer RNA, 76 nt
Filed under: Flavobacteriales bacterium
Lineage: Bacteria; Pseudomonadati; Bacteroidota; Flavobacteriia; Flavobacteriales
Description: tRNA-His
Rfam family: tRNA
About the family: Transfer RNA (tRNA) molecules are approximately 80 nucleotides in length. Their secondary structure includes four short double-helical elements and three loops (D, anti-codon, and T loops).
Source: RNAcentral